RNAcentral lists this unclassified non-coding RNA (253 nucleotides) under uncultured Bacteroidia bacterium. RNAcentral's name for it is "contains 16S-23S intergenic spacer region". It matches the Rfam family "Bacterial small subunit ribosomal RNA", at positions 524 to 776 of the family's 1533-position model. Lineage: Bacteria; Pseudomonadati; Bacteroidota; Bacteroidia. The record is from RNAcentral.
UACGGAGGGUGCAAGCGUUGUCCGGAUUCAUUGGGUUUAAAGGGUACGUAGGCGGCGUAUUAAGUCAGUGGUGAAAUCCUUCGGCUCAACCGAAGAACUGCCAUUGAAACUGGUAUGCUUGAGUAUGUCCGAGGUAGCUGGAAUGCGUAGUGUAGCGGUGAAAUGCAUAGAUAUUACGCAGAACACCAAUUGCGAAGGCAGGUUACUGGGACAAAACUGACGCUGAGGUACGAAAGCGUGGGGAGCGAACAGG